Molecule: ribosomal RNA, 538 nt
Filed under: Cobetia sp.
Lineage: Bacteria; Pseudomonadati; Pseudomonadota; Gammaproteobacteria; Oceanospirillales; Halomonadaceae
Description: bacterial SSU rRNA
Rfam family: Bacterial small subunit ribosomal RNA
Source: RNAcentral
GCGAAGCUGAUCCAGCCAUGCCGCGUGUGUGAAGAAGGCCUUCGGGUUGUAAAGCACUUUCAGCGAGGAAGAACGCCUUGGGAUUAAUACUCCCGAGGAAAGACAUCACUCGCAGAAGAAGCACCGGCUAACUCCGUGCCAGCAGCCGCGGUAAUACGGAGGGUGCAAGCGUUAAUCGGAAUUACUGGGCGUAAAGCGCGCGUAGGUGGCUAAGUCAGCCAGGUGUGAAAGCCCCGGGCUCAACCUGGGAACGGCAUCUGGAACUGCUUGGCUAGAGUGCAGGAGAGGAAGGUAGAAUUCCCGGUGUAGCGGUGAAAUGCGUAGAGAUCGGGAGGAAUACCAGUGGCGAAGGCGGCCUUCUGGACUGACACUGACACUGAGGUGCGAAAGCGUGGGUAGCAAACAGGAUUAGAUACCCUGGUAGUCCACGCCGUAAACGAUGUCAACUAGCCGUUGGGUCCCUUGAGGACUUAGUGGCGCAGCUAACGCAAUAAGUUGACCGCCUGGGGAGUACGGCCGCAAGGUUAAAACUCAAAUG